RNAcentral lists this ribosomal RNA (957 nucleotides) under uncultured marine bacterium. RNAcentral's name for it is "bacterial SSU rRNA". It matches the Rfam family "Bacterial small subunit ribosomal RNA", at positions 56 to 1058 of the family's 1533-position model. The record is from RNAcentral.
UGCAGUCGAACGAAGUAGCAAUACUUAGUGGCAGACGGGUGAGUAACAUGUAGGUAUCUGCCCUUUGGCCUGGAAUAACACGAGGAAACUUGUGCUAAUACCGGAUAAGUCUUUACGGAGAAAGCUUUAUGCACCAUUGGAUGAGCCUGCACUUGAUUAGUUUGUUGGUGGGGUAAUGGCCUACCAAGACUGUGAUCAAUAGCUGAUUUGAGAGGAUGAUCAGCCACAUUGGGACUGAGACACGGCCCAAACUCCUACGGGAGGCAGCAGUGGGGAAUCUUGCACAAUGGAGGAAACUCUGAUGCAGCGAUGCCGCGUGAGUGAAGAAGGCCCUUGGGUUGUAAAGCUCUUUCGUCGGGGAAGAAAAUGACUGUACCCGAAUAAGAAGGUCCGGCUAACUUCGUGCCAGCAGCCGCGGUAAUACGAAGGGACCUAGCGUAGUUCGGAAUUACUGGGCUUAAAGAGUUCGUAGGUGGUUGAAAUAGUUGGUGGUGAAAUCCCAGAGCUUAACUCUGGAACUGCCAUCAAAACUUUUCAGCUAGAGUAUGAUAGAGGAAAGCAGAAUUUCUAGUGUAGAGGUGAAAUUCGUAGAUAUUAGAAAGAAUACCAAUUGCGAAGGCAGCUUUCUGGAUCAUUACUGACACUGAGGAACGAAAGCAUGGGUAGCGAAGAGGAUUAGAUACCCUCGUAGUCCAUGCCGUAAACGAUGUGUGUUAGACGUUGGAAAUUUAUUUUCAGUGUCGCAGGGAAACCGAUAAACACACCGCCUGGGGAGUACGACCGCAAGGUUAAAACUCAAAUGAAUUGACGGGGACCCGCACAAGUAGUGGAGCAUGUGGUUUAAUUCGAAGAUACGCGCAGAACCUUACCAACACUUGACAUGUUCGUCGCGACUCUAAGAGAUUAGAGUUUUCGGUUCGGCCGGACGAAACACAGGUGCUGCAUGGCUGUCGUCAG